This 497-nucleotide ribosomal RNA is filed under the name uncultured bacterium. RNAcentral describes it as "partial 16S ribosomal RNA". It matches the Rfam family "Bacterial small subunit ribosomal RNA", at positions 28 to 507 of the family's 1533-position model. The record is from RNAcentral.
GACGAACGCUGGCGGCGUGCCUAAUACAUGCAAGUAGAACGCUGAAGAGAGGAGCUUGCUCUUCUUGGAUGAGUUGCGAACGGGUGAGUAACGCGUAGGUAACCUGCCUUGUAGCGGGGGAUAACUGUUGGAAACGAUAGCUAAUACCGCAUAACAAUGGAUGACACAUGUCAUUUAUUUGAAAGGGGCAAUUGCUCCACUACAAGAUGGACCUGCGUUGUAUUAGCUAGUAGGUGAGGUAAUGGCUCACCUAGGCGACGAUACAUAGCCGACCUGAGAGGGUGAUCGGCCACACUGGGACUGAGACACGGCCCAGACUCCUACGGGAGGCAGCAGUAGGGAAUCUUCGGCAAUGGGGGCAACCCUGACCGAGCAACGCCGCGUGAGUGAAGAAGGUUUUCGGAUCGUAAAGCUCUGUUGUAAGUCAAGAACGGGUGUGAGAGUGGAAAGUUCACACUGUGACGGUAGCUUACCAGAAAGGGACGGCUAACUACGUG